UGGGUGUUGGCUAAAUGUUUGC
This 22-nucleotide non-coding RNA is filed under the name Rattus norvegicus (Norway rat). Lineage: Eukaryota; Metazoa; Chordata; Mammalia; Rodentia; Muridae. The record is from RNAcentral.